Malus domestica (apple) is the source of this 541-nucleotide non-coding RNA. The record is from RefSeq and is a predicted model, not a curated record. Lineage: Eukaryota; Viridiplantae; Streptophyta; Magnoliopsida; Rosales; Rosaceae.
CUCCUUCUUUCUUCUUCUUUUUCCGUCUGUCUCGUCUCUCUCCCUCUCGGCCCUAUCUCAUCUCUCUCUUCUCUGCACCGCGAAAACACACACACAUCAUCGCACGCAAGCGUACGUGAGGAAGACCCAUCACCCAUCACCAUCUCGUCCUGUUCUCUCUCUCUCUCUCUCCCUCGUUCCCACUACUCCAAAAAACUUGAAAAUGAGCUCCGGCGAGAUUUUUCAAUCUUCGGUUAGGUUUUAGAGCGGAAUCGAACUCGGGUGUAGGAACACCCAUUUCCGGCGAACCGAGGGUGUCAAGGGAGAUUCCGGCCAUCUCCGGCCGUUCCACGACUAAAGGAAGGACUUAGAAUCGAGGCGUACAAUCCCGGCAUCCAGGUACUUCCGUAUCGGUAUCUUCGAGUCCUCUCGAUGUAGGAUCCACUUCUAUGUUCAUUCAAUUUUUACAUUAAUUCUUUUAAUGUUCUAGAUUAGACGUAUGCUCUGAAUACAUUCCUUAAAUGCAUAUUCAUUGGUCUUUUACAUUCAUAAGUCUUAUUUA